AUUGAGCUCUCUAUUCUCAAAUUUACUAUUAAAUCCUCCUUUAGUCCUUAGUUUCAUAAGGAUUUUCGUGGGUAUUCUAGUUAUAGAAAAUGUAGCCCAUUGCUUCCCAUCUCAUGGGCUACACCUUGACCUAACUUUUUUGUGUUAAGAUACUUGUGCUUACUUUUCUUCCUUUUUAGGGUUUGCUGAAGAUGGUGGUAUAUAGGCUGAAUUAGCAAGAGAUGGUGAGGUGUAUCGGGGUUUAUCGAUUAUAGAACAGGCUCCUCUAGAGGGAUAUAAAGCAUCGCCAAGUCCUUUGAGUUUUAAGCUGUUGCUAGUAGUUCUCUGGCAGAUAGUUUUGUUUAGUUAGACUAUCUAUGUUUAGGGCUAAGCAUAGUGGGGUAUCUAAUCCCAGUUUGGGUCUUAGCUAUCGUGUGGCCGGAAAUGUUAAAAGAACGAAAGAGCACACA
Molecule: long non-coding RNA, 449 nt
Organism: Herpailurus yagouaroundi (jaguarundi)
Lineage: Eukaryota; Metazoa; Chordata; Mammalia; Carnivora; Felidae
Exons: 3
Source: RefSeq, a predicted model, not a curated record